This 328-nucleotide ribosomal RNA is filed under the name uncultured Sphingobacteriales bacterium. RNAcentral describes it as "bacterial SSU rRNA". It matches the Rfam family "Bacterial small subunit ribosomal RNA", at positions 1054 to 1382 of the family's 1533-position model. Lineage: Bacteria; Pseudomonadati; Bacteroidota; Sphingobacteriia; Sphingobacteriales. The record is from RNAcentral.
GUCAGCUCGUGCCGUGAGGUGUCGGGUUAAGUCCCAUAACGAGCGCAACCCUUAUCGUUAGUUGCCAUCGGGUAAUGCCGGGGACUCUAGCGAAACUGCCGGUGUAAACCGCGAGGAAGUGGGGACGACGUCAAAUCAGCACGGCCCUUAUGUCCAGGGCUACACACGUGUUACAAUGGCCGGUACAGAGGGCAGCUACCUGGAGACAGGAUGCGAAUCUCGAAAGCCGGUCUCAGUUCGGAUCGGAGUCUGCAACCCGACUCCGUGAAGCUGGAUUCGCUAGUAAUCGCGCAUCAGCCAUGGCGCGGUGAAUACGUUCCCGGGCCUU